This 219-nucleotide long non-coding RNA is filed under the name Mytilus galloprovincialis (Mediterranean mussel). Lineage: Eukaryota; Metazoa; Mollusca; Bivalvia; Mytilida; Mytilidae. The record is from RNAcentral.
GGGGGGGCCUGGGAUUUUUAUUAUGUUCAUAAAUUUUUUUUCAGAACCUUCCUCCGAUAAAAUUUUUUUUUCUUAUGAGAAGGAAAGCAAAAAAUUUUUUCCUAUAAUUUGGAACAGAAAUACAUUUUUUUUUCUCAAAACCAUAAAAUUUACAUAAAAUUCAUUUUAAUUUUUUAAUUGAUGUAAAAUGUAAAGUGCAUGGCUCUGUCUGUAUCCUGG